GACGAACGCUGGCGGCGUGCUUAACACAUGCCAGUCGAACGGAAAGGCCCUGCUUUUGUGGGGUGCUCGAGUGGCGAACGGGUGAGUAACACGUGAGUAACCUGCCCUUGACUUUGGGAUAACUUCAGGAAACUGGGGCUACUACCGGAUAGCAGCUCCUGCUGCAUGGUGGGGGUUGGAACGUUUCGGCGGUCGGGGCUGGACUCGCGGCUUAUCAGCUUGUUGGUGGGGUAGUGGCUUACCAAGGCUGUGACGGGUAGCCGGCCUGGGAGGGUGACCGGCCACAUGGGGACUGAGAGACGGCCCAGUCUGGAAUGGGAGGCAGCGGUGGGGAGUCUUGCACAGUGAUCCGGAGUCUGAUGCAGCAGCGUUGGGUGCGGGAUGACGGUCUUCGGGUUGAAAACCGCUUUCGCCUGAGACGAAGCGUUAGUGACGGUAAUGGAUAAAGAAGCACCGGCUAACUACGUG
This 468-nucleotide ribosomal RNA is filed under the name uncultured bacterium. RNAcentral's name for it is "partial 16S ribosomal RNA". It matches the Rfam family "Bacterial small subunit ribosomal RNA", at positions 28 to 507 of the family's 1533-position model. The record is from RNAcentral.